Molecule: long non-coding RNA, 1629 nt
Organism: Zonotrichia leucophrys gambelii
Lineage: Eukaryota; Metazoa; Chordata; Aves; Passeriformes; Passerellidae
Exons: 4
Source: RefSeq, a predicted model, not a curated record
AUGGAGACUUUUUGCUGGAUUGGCUCUUCCUGACUGAAGAUCUCUGCCUUUUCCUGUGCUGUUUUGCACCACUGCCACAAUUAAAAUCACCUAGACAGAGGCAGUACAAAGGUGCUCUUUGCUCUCUUGUUCCUCAAAGCAUGGACAUCAAGAACUGGAUCCCAGCCCACUGACAUCAAUGGGAGCCCUUCCAUUCACCUCAUGAAGUCUGUGCCAGGUCAAGGAGGAACACAGAUGAGAGAAGGCAAUUUGGCUGUCACAUUUUCCUUUCAUCAAGAGCUUUGCACAGAAAAAAACUCUUUUUAAUGUAACUUCUGCUGCUGAGUUGGAGAUUUUUGUCCCUGUGAAGUGAAUUUCCACUAAUAACUACAGAGGUUUUCAGGAUGGGUCUGAGAAUGGAGCAAAAAACUAGAGUUACAUGGGACAUCUGAGGAGCCAAAACAUGGUUCUAAGGGCAUGACUCUGGAGCUAUCAGCUUUCUAAGGAGGAAAUGUACUGAGUGACAGAGCUGUCUGAAGUGUUCAGGCUGUUUGCAAUAUGGAUGCUGGAGAAUAAGCAAAAUCACCCAUGAAAGGAGCCAUGAAUUUUGUGGUGGAAGCCAGAAUUAGAGCCAAUUCCAGAGAUGAGCAAUAUUCCCACCUUGGUUCACAGCUCUCGUUCUGCAAGCAUGGUCUACAAAAGCAAAGGUAUGCAUUGCCAAUAAUUCACAUUUUGUGGACACUGCCUUCGGCCUGACUUCUUGCAGUGGCAGGAGACACUUCUCCACAGAAUAUAUUUUCUUUCCAGAGGUCCCUUGCACAACCAAAAUCUGGGACGGGAAUGGGGGGAUGUCCAGCUGUCUGUCUGCCUCAGAUGCUUUUAGACCUGGGCCUGCUUAGGACAGGCUAAGUGUGUGUGAACAGAGGCUCAUGGGCUGUGUUUUUCCUGUAGUUGGCUCCUGCUUGGCUUUAUUUGGUUUGCUCUUUUGCGAAAUGGUUUCUUUGCUUGUUUGUGCUAACAGCAGAAGUGCUAGGUCUCUGUAGAGUGAAAUUAAAUGCCAGGUUUAGGAUGUGUCUUCAGAGCAAUUAAUCAUUCUUCAGAGAUAUGGCCAAGGCAGCCUCCAGGACCGUGUGAGCUCAACGCAGCUUUCCUGCACACUAGGCUUGUGUGGAGCCCCUCAGCUGAAACCAGCAUUUCUUGGGCAUGUCUUGCUGCCAAGCAAAUCUGCCUUUUGCAGUUGAGCCUUGUUUUCCCUGCCCACUGUUUUGCCCCUGGCAGCCACAGCAAUCAGGCACCAGAAGAAAUCUCCUCACUGCGGGAAAAAUAAUUAACGAGAACAAGCAGAACCAUCCAUGCACAUGGCUGAACCCUAAGAAGAUGCUCACAAAGGUGAUUCACAAUAAUGUUCUUAAAACAAAACAGGCACUCUAACAGUAGCCAAAACCAGUGUAAGCACAGGAUACUUUCCAGCAUUAGCCUAACCCUCUGGUGAUAGCAAUAAACGAUGCUUCAUGUUUUAAUCAAGAGACAAUAUUCUUGCUGGCUGAUUGAAGUGUUUUUAUUGGAAAUAGCUUCCAAAAAGAACCUGUCUUGUUAGUACUGUAAAUUCUGCAGGCUAAAAUCCUUUGAUUCUCAUUAAAUUAACUAAUU